UACGGAGGAUGCGAGCGUUAUCCGGAUUUAUUGGGUUUAAAGGGUGCGUAGGCGGACGCUUAAGUCAGCGGUAAAAUUGCGGGGCUCAACCUCGUCGAGCCGUUGAAACUGGGUGCCUUGAGUGGGCGAGAAGAGGGCGGAAUGCGUGGUGUAGCGGUGAAAUGCAUAGAUAUCACGCAGAACCCCGAUUGCGAAGGCGGCCUUCCGGCGCCCUACUGACGCUGAGGCACGAAGGUGCGGGGAUCGAACAGG
RNAcentral lists this ribosomal RNA (252 nucleotides) under uncultured bacterium. RNAcentral's name for it is "partial 16S ribosomal RNA". It matches the Rfam family "Bacterial small subunit ribosomal RNA", at positions 524 to 776 of the family's 1533-position model. The record is from RNAcentral.